RNA transcript from Myripristis murdjan (pinecone soldierfish), 7045 nucleotides. It is a transcript of the gene named golgi glycoprotein 1a, with no coding region annotated. The record is from RefSeq and is a predicted model, not a curated record. NCBI's taxonomy places the organism in Eukaryota, Metazoa, Chordata, Actinopteri, Holocentriformes, Holocentridae. The transcript has 27 exons.
AUGGCGGACUGUAUACGUGUUCCUCUGCUCUUGCUUUUGAUGUGCAUCUUGUCGUAUGUGCAUCCAAUUCGAGGAGAUAACGCUUAUAACAACGUUAUCAUUAAACCGGGUGGUAAUGCGGAAAACUUGCAGAACCAAGCCGGCGGUCCGGGAGCGGCUGCCGGGAACCCGGGACCCGCUGACAGGAGCCCGGUGGCCGGGGCCUCGCCGCCCCGGAGGCGCUCUGCCGGCUGGAAGUUAGCUGAGGAGGCGGUGUGCAGAGAUGACCUGACCCGGCUGUGCCCGAAACACUCCUGGAACAACAACCUGGCUGUGCUGGAGUGUCUGCAGGAUAAGAAAGAGGAAACAGAGAUCGCCGCCGACUGCAACCAUCUGCUGUGGAACUACAAGCUGAACCUGACCACCGACCCCAAGUUCGAGUCUGUCGCCGUGGAAGUCUGCAAGUCCACCAUCGCUGAGAUUAAAGAGUGUGCGGCGGAGGAGCGAGGGAAGGGCUACCUGGUCUCCUGCCUGGUGGAUCACCGCGGCAACAUCAGCGAGUACCAGUGCAACCAGUACAUCACCAAGAUGACCAGCAUCAUCUUCAGCGACUACCGGCUCAUCUGCGGCUUCAUGGAUAAAUGCCGCGACGACAUCAACACGCUGCACUGCGGCAGCAUCAGCACCGGAGAGAAGGACAUCCACUCACAGGGCGAGGUGAUCGCCUGUCUGGAGAAAGGUUUGGUGCGGGAGGCCGAGGAGCAGCCGGGAGCGCACGCCAUCCAUGACGACUGCAAGAAGGCCAUCAUGAGAGUGGCCGAGCUGUCGUCUGACGACUUCCACCUGGACAGAUACCUGUACUUCUCCUGCCGCGACGACCGCGAGCGCUUCUGCGAGAACACUCCAGCCGGGGAGGGACGAGUUUAUAAAUGUCUGUUCAACCACAAGUUUGAGGAAGCCAUGUCUGAAAGGUGCCGCGAGGCCCUCACCACGCGGCAGAAGCUGAUCGCUCAGGACUACAAGGUGAGCUACUCGCUGGCCAAAGCCUGCAAGGCCGACCUGAGGAAGUACCGCUGCAGCAUGGACACCAACAUGCCCCGAGCCCGCGAGGCGCGCCUGUCCUACCUGCUGCUCUGCCUGGAGUCCGCCGUGCACAGAGGCCGGGUGGUGAGCGGCGAGUGUCAGGGCGAGAUGCUGGACUACCGGCGGAUGCUGAUGGAGGAUUUCUCUCUGAGUCCGGAGAUCGUGCUGCACUGCCGCAGCGAGAUCGAGGCCCACUGCUCGGGGCUGCACAGGAAGGGCCGCACGCUGCACUGCCUGAUGAGGGUGGGCCGCGGCGACAUGGGCGCCAUCGACACGCUCUGCCAGAAGGCUUUGCAGACUCUGAUCCAGGAGGCCGACCCCGGAGCCGACUACCGCAUCGACCGAGCGCUCAACGAGGCCUGCGAGUCCGUCAUCCAGACCGCCUGCAAGCACAUCCGCAACGGAGACCCCAUGAUCCUGUCGUGUCUGAUGGAGCAUCUGUACACUGAGAAGAUGGUGGAGGACUGCGAGCACAGACUGCUGGAGCUGCAGUACUUCAUCGCCAGAGACUGGAAGCUGGAUCCCAUCCUCUAUAAGAAAUGUCAGGGCGACGCGUCCCGGCUCUGCCACACACACGGCUGGAACGAGACCAACGACUCCAUCCCGCCCGGCGCCGUCUUCUCCUGCCUGUACCGCCACGCCUACCGCUCUGUGGAGCAGGGCCGCCGGCUGUCCCGGGACUGUAAGGUGGAGGUGCAGAGGAUCCUCCAUCAGAGGGCGCUGGACGUGAAGCUGGACCCUGAGCUGCAGAGACGCUGCAUGACCGACCUGGGCAAGUGGUGCAGCGAGAAGACCGAGGCCGGACAGGAGCUGGAGUGUCUGCAGGAUCACAUGGAGGAUCUGGUGACCAGCUGCAGAGACGUGGUGGGAAACCUGACCGAGCUGGAGUCCGAGGAUAUCCAGAUCGAGGCGCUGCUGAUGAGAGCGUGUGAACCCGUCAUCCAGGCCCACUGCCACGAGGUUGCAGAUAAUCAGAUUGAUACAGGUGACCUGAUGGAGUGUCUGGUUCAGAACAAACAUCAGAAGGAGAUGAAUGAGAAAUGUGCCGUGGGAGUGACACACUUCCAGCUGAUCCAGAUCAAAGAUUUCCGUUUCUCCUACAAGUUCAAGAUGGCGUGUAAGGAGGACGUCCUGAAGCUCUGCCCCAACAUCAAGAAGAAGGUGGACGUGGUGAUCUGCCUCAGCACCACGGUGAGGAACGACACGCUGCAGGACGCCAAGGAGCAGAGAGUCUCCGUCAAAUGCCGCAAACAGCUGCGGGUGGAGGAGCUGGAGAUGUCGGAGGACAUCCGGCUCGACCCCGACCUCUACGACUCCUGCAAGCAGGACAUCAACAGGCUGUGUCAGAACGUGGCCUUCGGCAACGCUCAGGUGACUGAGUGUCUGAAGGAGAACAAGCGUCAGCUGACUCAGCGUUGCCACCAGCGCGUCUUCAAGCUGCAGGAAGUGGAGAUGAUGGAUCCUGAGCUCGACUACCAGCUGAUGAGAGUCUGCAAGCACAUGAUCAGGCGGUUUUGCACAGAGGCAGACGGGAAGAACGUGCUCCAGUGUCUGAAACAGAACAAGAACAGUGAGCUGAUGGAUCCCAAAUGCAAACAAAUGAUCACCAAGAGACAGAUCACCCAGAACACAGACUACAGGCUGAACCCGGUGCUGAGGAAGUCGUGUAAAGCCGACAUCCCCAAGUUCUGCCAGUCCAUCCUGAACAAGGCGACGGGGGACAGCGAGCUGGAGGGCCAGGUCAUCUCCUGCCUCAAGCUGAAGUACGCCGACCAGCGGUUGUCUCCAGACUGUGAGGAUCAGAUCCGGGUCAUCCUGCAGGAGUCGGCGCUGGACUACAGGCUGGACCCUCAGCUGCAGAUCCACUGCACCCAGGAGAUCUCUCGGCUGUGUCCGGAGGAGGCGGCGGCUCAGGAGCAGACGGGGCAGGUGGAGGAGUGUCUGAAGGUCAACCUGCUCAAGAUCAAACAGGAAGGAUGCAAGAAGGAGGUGCUGAACAUGCUGAAGGAGAGCAAGGCCGACAUCUUCGUCGACCCCGUCCUGCACACCGCCUGCGCUCUCGACAUCAAACACCACUGUGCUGCCAUCCCACCCGGCCGGGGACGCCAGAUGUCCUGCCUGAUGGAGGCGCUGCAGGACAAACGAGUCCGCCUGCAGCCCGAGUGCAAGAAGAGACUGCAGGACCGCAUCGACAUGUGGAGCUACGCCGCCAAGAUCGCCCCGGCGGAGGGAUUCUCAGACCUGGCCAUGCAAGUGAUGACAUCACCGUCCAAGAACUACAUCCUGGCUGUGAUUGGCCUGGGGGUGGCGCUGCUCUUCCUGAUGGGGCUGCUGUGUGGGCGAAUCACCAAGCGCGUCACUCAGGAGCUGAAGGACAGGUAGACCCCGCCCACCCGGGGGUCAGGGGUCAGGACACGCCCACCAGAGAAACUAACCACCACCGAACGGCCCUCAGCUUGACACCCCCUCACCCUCACCCCCCGCCCCCCCGCCCCGGCCCCCUCCUCACCUCCUCGCCCUCCUCGCCGCCCUCUUCUCUUUUCUCUCAUCGGUGUUGGGACGUCCAUGUUGGAAUGACAUUACCCACAAUGCCCCAGGCUCCAUCGCCUGCCUCCCCUAAUGGGAAAGUGGGUUCGCUUAUUGAUUAUUGACUUUCCCUGCCUCUACAUUCGCCCCGCCUGCUCUCCGGGAGACCACGCCCACUGCUUCUUCUUCUUCUCCUCCUUCUUCUUCUGCUUCAGCCGUGAAAGGAAGUGCUUCUCCAGAGAGCGCCGGUUCUCCUGGAGUUUUAACCCUCGUUCCUCCCCGAUGUAGAUGGCAGUACUUCUUCGCUUGUUUGUGUCUUUUUGCCCCUCUGCUGAGGGGGGCGGGGGCGGGAGGGGGGGUGGUGUUAUUAGGGGUUUUGGGGUCAGAGGUCACAAGGGAGAGGUGAAAUUAUAUUUAGCGUUAAGUGUUGUAGGUGGGAUGGGGCGAGCUCGUCCAUAGAGCAUUUUAAUGACUCCAGUACUUUAAUGACUACAGAGUGUGUGUGUGUGUGUGUGUGUGUGUGUGUGUGUGUGUGUGGUGUGUGUGUGUGGUGUGUGUGUGAGAAUGAUCCAAACUGUCUUCUACCACAUGUUCUUAUACUUUGUUCCCCUGCGAGGGUUUCAGGGCCGUUUCGGUUCUCGGUCUGUCACAUUGCUGUCGUGUGUUAGUUAGAUUUUUGGCCGUGGGACUGCCAGGCGGGCGGAGCCAACCAGCCCUGCACCGAGCCACAGGGGGGAGGGGCCGACACACUCCAGCUCACUCGCUCGCUCACAGGAUGCUCAAUCUGACCCUCUCUCGCAGCCCCUCCAUCCCGAUUCCCACCCUCCACCCGUGCCAUAAACUCACCACGUCUACCUGCUGCUCCCGGAUCAGCCUCGCGGCGUCCCGGCAGGACGGGGCGCGUCUCCGCCCUGCGCGGCGCCGCGAGGCCGGCGGGUCAGGCCACAAACGGUUAAGCGUCACACUCGCCGUCUGGAAGCACCAGGAUACUAAACAAAAGGUUUUUCCGUCGCGCUGUGAUGACAUCACAGGCUGGGAGUAUUGAGCGUCACGGAGCCCGACGCCGCCCCGGUCGUCCCGCUUUGGCCGAAGCGGCUCGGCGUCCUGCCGUUUCCAAGGCGACGGUGCGGCGGAGCGGAGCGGCUGCUCGGUACAGACAGGCUGAGAGCAAUGCAAAACAAAACGUCAAGAAAUGAAACUAAAAAGAUGCUAGAUUAUUAUAGAGAUGUGAACAUUUUUGUUGAAAGAUGAUACUGGAAUCAUUGCACAUUUUUCGUUCAUUUUUUAUAUCUAUAAAUAUAUAUAUAUUGUUUUGUCAUAGCCUUAUUUAUUUGUUUACUAAUGGUCAAAGUUUGUGAGUCCUUUUUUUUUUUAUGAUUUGAAUGUUCUCUGGUUGCCUUUUCUCGCCGCAGGACAGCCCCCCCCCUCCUGCUGAGGGGAGGGGGGGUGGCCGCCGACGGGUCGGCCUCUUUUCUGCCGGACAUCAACCUGCAGCUGCUUUACGGCACGGCUGCUCACCGCACGCAUACGGAAGCCCAAACAGGCCAAAACACAUGAAAACACCUGUCAGUGCAUCUGCACAGAAAUGUCUGCAUGUCGGCGUGUUCGGCUUUUACUGGUAAAGGUCAAAGUGGACGACACACAGAGGGUCAGUGCACACGCUAAUGUUGAACACACAGAAAUGUUACAUGCACAACACGCCAACAUGUUGACAACACGCCAACAUGUUGACGACACACAGCUGUUACCCGCUUGUGUUGUUUUCCUGUUAAAACGUCGACAGCGUGCUGUCAGCAUGUCUGCAUGCAUCGUCAUGUUGACAACAUUGUUUACUCUCCACUGUCGUCUUCAUCGUCUCAGCUGACCGUUAAACUCUGCUGAGGCGGAUGAAUCUCACACACACACACACACUCACACACACACACACACUCUGUGGUCAGCACUGAGCUCACUGAGGCGCUGUCUGUCUGUCUGAGUUGCUGGAAAAGAGCCAAAUGUAAAUAUGGGUGCAGAGGACGUAGAGAGUCUGCACGCUGAAGGUGUGGCUUCUUUGUAUCGACUCGACGUGACGGCGCGUCAGUUUCCUGUUUUUGACCUGUUGGGCCUUCCACACGCAGCUGACAGCGAACGCCUCGCCGUCUGCUGCCUUUUAGAGACCGACCCCCGUCUGAGUUUGUGGAUUGUCUCUUGUUUCUGCUCGGUCGGUCUCUGCAGGUCUCUGCAGGUCUCUGCAGGUCUCUGCAGGUCUCUGCAGGUCGAUGCAGGUCUCUGCAGGCCUCUGCGGUCUCUGCAGGUCUCUGCGGUCUCUGCAGGUCUCUGCAGGUCUCUGCAGGUCUCUGCGGUCUCUGCAGGUCUCUGCAGGUCUCUGCGGUCUCUGCAGGUCUCUGCAGGUCUCUGCAGGUCUCUGCAGGUCUCUGCUGGUCUCUGCAGGUCUCUGCGGGUCUCUGCAGGUCUCUGCAGGUCUCUGCAGGUCUCUGCUGGUCUCUGCAGGUCGAUGCCGGGUGAUGAAAAGGUGGUCGACGUUUUGGUUUAGUCAUUCGACCAAAAACAAAAGGAUUUCCCGUCUUCACACUGAGAGCGGAGAGCUGCGGCGCUCGGCGUGAGGACAGGAAGCGGCGCUCGGUGUGAGGACAGGAAACGCCGCUGCCGUGUGAAUCUGCGUCGGCGAGCCGGAAUGACUUCACCUUGGUCUGAGCUCAUGAAUCAAAAUGUCUCCUCCAGUCUCCAGUUAUCAGUUCAAGCCGAACAUCCGUACACGUGUGCUACGCCGAGUGACUAGAUUCAUCGUACCAUACGGUUUUUUUUUGUUUGUUUGUUUGUUUUAUUUUGUUUUCUUUUGUUUUGUUUGUGUUUUAGUUUUUUGAGACUCGUCGCGGCUUCGCUUGUAAAUGAGACAUUCUGAAUCGCUGAACUGCCUUCGCUUCUCCAUCUAAUGUUGGUUUCUCAACGCGUGCCUAAUCACCGUCCCACCGAGGGAUCCCACUGUACAGAACAUCCCAUAAUAACCUGACCACUCCAGCACCGAGCAGAGGUGUGUGUGGGCUUGACUGUGUGUGUGUGUGUGUGUGUGUGUGUGUGUGUGUUUAAGUGUGUGUGUUGCCCACAGAGUGCGGCCUGCCGGUUUUUUCGCAGAACGCUGUGUGAUCUCGUCCUUCUCGUCCAUCGGUUCCCUGCUGUUCUUUUGUCCGGAGCGACCAGAACGAUGACUAGAACAUAUGAUUAAGAUUAUGAUGAAAAAAAAAAUGAGAAAAAUCUUUUUGUAAACGCUGUUUUUUGUGUCUGAAUCUAUGGAGUUUCAUGCCGCCGCUGUAUGACGGUGCUUUUCCCUGUCCGCUUCUCUCUCUCUCUUUUUUUUUUUGUUUUUUUUUUUUGUUUUUCCAUUUUGUUUCGUUCAUUUUGUUGUUCUGUACAGAUGAAAAUUGGACAGUUUGUUAAUAAUAAAGUCUGCAGGUUUCUA